AAAUUGCCUAGGCUGGGCUUGAACUCGGGAUCCUUAGCCUCCCAGAAUGCUGGGACUAUAGGUGUGCUGCAUCUCGCCUGGCUCAGAACCCUAUUUCUAACAGGACCUGCACCUGCAAACCUCCACGCCUGCUCUCCUUCCCUUUUCAGUGUCUCCCACACCUGUAGUGAUCUCCUGCGCAUGCUUUUGAUUUAGCAUGCAUGCUUUUGAUUUAGCAUCGCUGAGCCGGAAGCUCCAGGAGGGCAGAACCCAGACGUUCACCCAGACAGGAAGAGGUGUCUGGAAUUCAAUUCCAGGCCUGUGCCUAUAACCUCCUCGCCCAGACCACCUCCUCUUUGCCACACCUUUUCUUUUUUGGUACGGGGAUAGAACUCGGGUCCUUCGGCUUGCGCAGCAGACGGUGAAACCACUGAGCUAAAUCCCAGGCCCCCUGCCACACCUUUUCAAAGCUCUCCUCUGUAAGCCACCCACAGCUGCCUGAUAGACACUGGGAAACUCCCCACGACUAGCUAAACUGCGCUGCAAUACCACUUGGCACCAGCAGGUGUCACCAGAGAAUUCCCAGAUGCCGCCCAGUGCCCCAGGGCAGGAUUGUACCAGAGUUGGUUUAAUCAGCCUUGAAGGAAACCAAGCUGCAGCUGCAUCCUUGAGCCUGUGUUCAUGGCCUAUGAGAAUGGAUUCCUAGAAACCGAAUCGCAAAGGGCAAAAAACCCCACACAUUUUAAAUUGCACAGAUAGAGUCAGGCAUGGUGGUGCAUGCCCGUAAUCCCAGCACUCUGGGAGGCUGAGGCAGGAGAAUUAUAAAUCCAGCCUGGGCAGUUUAGCAAUUCAGGGAGACUCUGUCUCAACAGGCUUUUUUUUUUUUAAUUACAGGGCUGGGUGUGUAGCUCAGUGCCAAGGCCAUGGGUUCAGUGCCUGGUGCUGCAAAAAUAAAGUGCAUAGAUUGCACUAACUCACUAAGCCUGGUUUACAGCUGAGGAAUGUCGGGCCCAGAGAAGGCAAAUGGGUCAGCCAGGGGCAUACAGCCAGCUCAUGAGCAGGCCAGGUUUAGAAUUACGUUUCUCUGGCCGUGAACAGCUCUCCGAGCUUGGAGGUCGCCGUCAGCAGGCUGAGGAAUAACCUUGUGCAUGGGGCAGGGAUCUGACAGCUCCUUCCGUUCCUCAGUCAUCCAUUCACAUUCACCAGACAAAAUGCACUCGGGGCAUACAGGCUCGAGACUGUCAGGAAGCCUCAACUAUCAACUGCCUCCUAGUCAAGAAAAUAUGCUGGGCCAGGUGGCGCAUGCCUGUGAUCCCAGGACUCGGGAGGCCAAAGCAGGAGGAUUGCUACAAGUCUGAGGCCAACCUUGGCUACACACUGAGACCCUGUCUCAAAAGUUAAAAAAAAAAAAAAAAAGGAAAAUGAAAAGCAUUGUUGAAGAUGUGAGGAAGUAGAACCCUGUACUCUCUUGGGAAUGUAAAAUGGUAGAAUGAGUGUGGAGAGCAGUACGGGGAUCCUCAAACAAUUAACCAUAAAGCCAUGCCCACAAUACUGCACACCUCUGAUAUCAGUGCUCAGGAGGCUGAGGCAGGGGGCUCGUGAGUUUGAGCCCAACCUGAGCAACUCAGUGCAAUCCUGUCUCAAAAUAAGAAAUAAGGAAGGGGUGGGGGUGGAGUUCAGCACCCUUGGGCUCACUCCCCAGUACAGAAUAAAUAUAGAGAAGUACCGCAUGACUCAGCAGUUCCACUCCUGGGUACAUAGCCAAGAAAACUGAAAACAGGCUCUCAAAGAGGUAUUUGUACAACAGCAGAGCGUGGAAGCCACCCAAGCACGCACCCAUGGUGGGCCAUGGUGGGGAGAGCGGGCUCCCAGUGGAAGGGCAGACCCACCUGCAGGUCUGCUGCAGUGAAAGCCGAGCCUCACAGGAGCCCACAUAGGGCCACGGCACUCGAGGCCACAGAGCGACACAGCAGGCUGUUCAACACACACAGUUUUGGUUUUGCAAGGUGAAGAGGUCUGCACGCGGAGACGGCUGCACAUCGCACAUGUCUUGGCACCCUGAGCUGUGCACCGACAGAUGAAGAAGAGGCAUAUUUCACCAGUUCUUUUAAAUUGGGGGUGUGGUGAGGUUAGAAAUGAAAGCUGCUUUUUAACUGGGCCAGCCUCUGCCCAGGUCACCAGGAGCCUGGGGUGACUCAGCAGCAGCCUCCCCCUCCAUCCCCAGGGUGACAUUCCCAGGCAGCCUCUGAGGACUGGAUGGCGGCGCCUGAGUAAGAAGCCUUUGCUCAGAUGUCAUAAAGCAGCAGCUGGGCCAGGACGCCCAGGCAGCGAGCCAGCUCCACCCCAGCCCCAUUCAGAGCCAAGGAAGCUGAGGACGCAAUGACACCCCCACCUUCUCCGUCCCCUCCUGCUGGACACACAGGCUGGUUCCAGUUUGGAGCAAGAGGAACAGACCUGAAGCAGAAUUGCUACAGCGUCUGAUAAUUCUCCAGUGAAUGUUUUCUGGAGAAAUGGAAUUGCUGGGAGACUGCAGAUCACAAGUGUUCCGGGUGCAACAGGAGGAGGCUUCUGAUCCAGUUUGUUUGGUUUUUUUCUGAGGUUUCAGGAAGAUGCCGGCCACAAUCACAGAGCUGGCGAGUGGAACGCUGACAACCGGAGGACCCAAGAGAGGGAAGAUGAAGGCUUCGAUAUUCUUGCAAUUUUUUUCUGUAAAUCUGUAAUUCAUUGUUAAAUGACCACGCAAGAGAAGCCUUUUAGAAAAUCAUCUUUGUCUUCUUAUUCCAGCUUUUAACCUGUUAGAGCCGCCUGGUCCCAGAAAAAGGAAAAUUCAUGACAUGAUUGUGUUGAGAGGACACAAUCCACCCUUAAGGUCCGUCUUCCGGGGAAUCGCUCUCAGUGAGGAGGCAGCAGCAGGAGAGCCUUUGCGUUUAUCUGAGGCUGAAGCGGCCUGUGAGAGAUUCCAGGGAAGGGCCAGGAGCCGUGGGUGGGGCUGGGGCCUUUCCAUCAAGGGGCUGCCUCGGCUCUACGCCCAGGCACACGGGGGCCAGUGGCCAGGAGGAUCCAGGAGCCCUGUAUUGGAAGCCUAGCUGGGGGUAGACUUGCUGGGGUCACUAACCCAGGAGUAAGGGAGUUUCUGAGACAUGUGACGGGGCUGGGUGCUGCCUGAGAACCACAUGUCCCUGGCCAGGCCAGUGCUGGAGGUCGAGUGGCCCGGUCAGAGCCUGGAUGGACACCCCACGUCCACUGCAGGACCCCCGCAUCCUCCCACGCUCUCUGCCUCUGCUGGAGAAGGGUGGGAGGGCUCGGGAAGGCAGACACACAAGGAACUUGCUAGAAGGGGCCUGGGGGACUCGGGAACCCAAGAAGGCAGUUCCAAUAGCAGGGAUGAGGACUGCUGCCUGCCAUGUGGCUGAGACUCCAGCUAUCAAAUGCUAGCAUUCAUUUACUUAUUAUUAAUAGAACUCUAGCUUUUUCAUUGGUCUCUUGAGAGAAAAACUAUACUUCACAGCUGUUCAGCAAAGAGUGCCACGUAACUGAGACUAGUUCUAACCAGUGGGAGAGAAGCAAGGAAGUGUUGCUGCCUUCUUUACUCCUUCUUGCUACCUGUAAUACAACAAAAUGGCUGGAGCAUAAGCAAUCUUCUUGGACCAUGAGGUGGAAGCCACCUGUUAAGGAUGGUGAAGUUAGCUGGGUGAAGUGGCACACACCUGUAAUCCCAGCCUCCAGAGGCUGAGACAGGAGGAUCCCAGUGAG
Molecule: non-coding RNA, 3732 nt
Organism: Heterocephalus glaber (naked mole-rat)
Lineage: Eukaryota; Metazoa; Chordata; Mammalia; Rodentia; Bathyergidae
Source: RefSeq, a predicted model, not a curated record